CGUCUCUCCGUUGGCCCCGUCGCUGAGAUAAUCCACUGUCCAUUGGCUCGCACGCUCGCUCUGCCCGCCGCCGCCAUCACUCACCCGCACGCCGCUCGCCGCUCGCCGUGAUUGCUGCCGGCGCUCUCCAGUCUGCUCCAGCGGCGCCACCACCGCCUCCACUCUGCGCGCCGCUGCAUCCGCGCCCCCUGCGCCAGUGAUUGGGGUGUAAGCUAGACCUGAGGGACGAGCAACAAGUUAGCCUUGAGCAGGUUAUAGCGCCCAUCAUGCAGUCGUUCCGUGAGAUUGAGACCUGCAUUGAGUGCUCCGCUCUUCGUUAGAUCCAGGUGCCUGAGGUCAGUGCUUCACCCAACAACACCUCUCUUUGAUCAAGAGGCGCAAUCUCUCAAGCCACGCUGUGUUAGAGCUUUGAAGCAGUAUUCAUAAUAUGUUAUCCUGACAAGGAUGGUACUCUCAGUGACGUGGAGCUCAAAGAAUUUCAGCCUACUGAAAUUUCAGGUGUGAAGAGAGUUGUUCAAGAGAAGAGGCCUGAAGGCGUGAAUGAAAAAGGACUUACCUUGACCAGGUUCCUUUUUCUGCAUGCUCUUUUUAUUGAAAAAGGUCGACUGGAAACUACAUGGCCAGUAUUGAGGAAAUUUGGUUAUGAUAAUGACCCCAAGCUUAGGGAUGAUCUCAUUG
Phragmites australis (common reed) is the source of this 678-nucleotide long non-coding RNA. RefSeq lists it as uncharacterized. Lineage: Eukaryota; Viridiplantae; Streptophyta; Magnoliopsida; Poales; Poaceae. The transcript is spliced from 3 exons. The record is from RefSeq and is a predicted model, not a curated record.